UCUGUUUUUAGUAAGGUGAUAGCUGCAAGCAAAAGUACAAUUUCACCAUGUGAAAAAAAAGUUGCUUAUGAAAUGAUGUUGUUCAAUGGAUUCCUGCGUCAUUGAAUUUGUGAUUGCAGAGACAGAAUGAUGGGGUUGAAUGGAUAAGAGAGCCAGUUUAUUUAUACACCACACCCAUUUCUUCACUUGGUCUGUUAUACAAAGCAUUUAUCUUCUGUCAGUGAGGGAAACUUAGUGUAUAAGGAAGUUUUUUCUUGAUUGGGUAUUCAGAUAAGGAAGAGAGAAAAAGAGAAAGAGAGCUAUGGAUUCCUCAGCAAAAGAAGAGAGGGAUUCUGAAUCCGUUGGUUCAAGUAGAAGUAGAGAGGAGUGGAAGUAUGAUAUCUCUGCUGAUGAAGAAGAUCUGAUAUUGAGACUUCACAAGCUUCUUGGUGACAGGUGGGAGCUGAUUGCAGGGAGGCUACCAUGGAGGACUGCAGAGGAGAUUCAAAAGUAUUGGAAAAUGAGAAGUAAGGAUCAUUAAGGGGCAUUGGAAAAUGAGAAGGAAGGAUCAUUAAGGGGCAAGGAGCCCACCCCUUGAUAAUGUAUUUGUUAGAAAUAUUAUCUGAAAUUAGUUUUGGAAAAUGAGAAGCAAGGGACAAGGAGCUCAUCCUUGAUAAAGUAUUUGUUAGAAAUUUUAUCUGAGAUAAGUUUUGAAUUAUUUGAGAUUAAAUUAUAGUGGUUUAACAUUGAAAUGACUUCUUAUAUCAAGCUACUUUAUUAUUGUUAAA
This is a long non-coding RNA of Cryptomeria japonica (Japanese cedar), 767 nucleotides long. RefSeq lists it as uncharacterized. The transcript is spliced from 3 exons. The record is from RefSeq and is a predicted model, not a curated record. NCBI's taxonomy places the organism in Eukaryota, Viridiplantae, Streptophyta, Pinopsida, Cupressales, Cupressaceae.